AGUCGAGCGAAGCACUUUGCUUAGAUUCUUCGGAUGAAGAGGAUUGUGACUGAGCGGCGGACGGGUGAGUAACGCGUGGGUAACCUGCCUCAUACAGGGGGAUAACAGUUAGAAAUGACUGCUAAUACCGCAUAAGACCACAGCACCGCAUGGUGCGGGGGUAAAAACUCCGGUGGUAUGAGAUGGACCCGCGUCUGAUUAGCUAGUUGGUAAGGUAACGGCUUACCAAGGCGACGAUCAGUAGCCGACCUGAGAGGGUGACCGGCCACAUUGGGACUGAGACACGGCCCAAACUCCUACGGGAGGCAGCAGUGGGGAAUAUUGCACAAUGGGGGAAACCCUGAUGCAGCGACGCCGCGUGAGCGAAGAAGUAUUUCGGUAUGUAAAGCUCUAUCAGCAGGGAAGAAAAUGACGGUACCUGACUAAGAAGCACCGGCUAAAUACGUGCCAGCAGCCGCGGUAAUACGUAUGGUGCAAGCGUUAUCCGGAUUUACUGGGUGUAAAGGGAGCGUAGACGGAUGGGCAAGUCUGAUGUGAAAACCCGGGGCUCAACCCCGGGACUGCAUUGGAAACUGUUAAUCUAGAGUGCUGGAGAGGUAAGUGGAAUUCCUAGUGUAGCGGUGAAAUGCGUAGAUAUUAGGAGGAACACCAGUGGCGAAGGCGGCUUACUGGACAGUAACUGACGUUGAGGCUCGAAAGCGUGGGGAGCAAACAGGAUUAGAUACCCUGGUAGUCCACGCCGUAAACGAUGACUACUAGGUGUCGGGUGGCAAAGCCAUUCGGUGCCGCAGCAAACGCAAUAAGUAGUCCACCUGGGGAGUACGUUCGCAAGAAUGAAACUCAAGGGAAUUGACGGG
RNAcentral lists this ribosomal RNA (857 nucleotides) under uncultured bacterium. RNAcentral describes it as "bacterial SSU rRNA". It matches the Rfam family "Bacterial small subunit ribosomal RNA", at positions 60 to 917 of the family's 1533-position model. The record is from RNAcentral.